UACACGGUGGAGGUUUGCACUCAGUGACGAGCCCAUGACAGAAGAUGGUUCAGGAAAGUCCGCUGCAGUGGGUUUGCUGCUGGUGUGCCCUUGACCUUUCCUCGGCCGGGCACAGAAGCCCUGGGGCCUUUCUCUCUUCAGUGCCUAAGUGUAUACCCUGUGCCAGCUGUGCAACCCCUGCCGUCUGGGUCAGUUGGGUGUCAGGACUAAUGGGUGCUAGCCUCGAGUGUCUGGCCCCCAGCCGGUACCCGGAAUCCGGCGUGCGCCUCUAAGUGGAGAACAGGGUGCCGGCUCUGCACUGCGGGUGCCUGGAGGAGCCAUGUGGGAGGCUGCAGGUGCCCCCUUUUGGUGGCGCCGGGUCUGGACUCGGGCAGGAACUUCGGCUUGAGAGGAGACCUGGGCUGGUCCCCUGCGGGUGGGGGUCUGCCGGCCCACAGACCUGCGUCCUCGGGUGGCCUUCCUCUCCCAGCAGCUCUCUAGCGCCUCCGGGGGCCCGCUCGGUGCUGGCAUAUAGGGUUAGACUGACCAGCUUUGAAACCACCGGGCUGUCCUGUUGUGCGUCAGUGUCCGUGUUGUCCUGUCCCCACCCCCAUCACAAAGGAGAAAAGCAGCGUCCUUUCCUUCAGCUGUUGGGCUGCCCCUGCAGCUGGGACGGGGCUCGGGUCUCUGGCCCCUGCAGAGGGGUGGCAGUUGCCUGGAGACGAGCUGGGACUUCUAGAGAUGAGUUGGAGUGGGCGUGGCUGGCACUGGUCCCCGUCCACGCCUGGUCAGUGUUCUGUGGCCCAUAUGGCACGCAGCAUGGCUGCCAGUCCCCGUGGCGCCCAGGGGUCCUAGAAAGGUCACUGAAUUUGGCACCUUGGCUGAAACCUGCAGCCUCCUCGCUAACACUUCAGACGGCAGGCGCCAAGUUCUUCCUUUCUCCAAGGCUCGGCGUGCCGGCCCCGGGUGAGAGAGAGGGGACAGGCUCUGCUGCUGCACCCCGCUCCCUGCCGCAGGCGGAGGACAGUGGCUGGCCCUGUUGGGCACGAACCCCCAUCAUGGCGUCCUGGUGACAGCUGUCUUCAGGCCCAAACCCCGCACCCCAGAGCCAGGGCGGCCUCCAAAACGUGACUCGGGCCGUGUUUCCAGGCCCCGAGGAUCGCCACACAGUAACCAGCAGAGGGGAAAACGCUCCAGGCUGACGUCUCUUGCAGGCACUGCCGCAAAAAUAGGGUCACUGCUGCGUCCCAAGGUGUCUGCCUGUGCCUGUGGGGGAGUCGGUCCUGCUUCCCAAAGAGGCUGCACCAGCGCGGGUGCACGUCGCUGCUGGAGGACCUCACUGCCUUGACCCUUGACUUCCAGCCUGGCUGGUGGGGCCCGGCCGUGCCCGCGGCGCUUGGGGUCCGCCUGCCGACUGCUGUGGGGACUGAACACCCUCGUGUGUGUGUGUGGCCGCGGCCCUCGCUCUUUGGCGAAAUGCCUUUGGAAUUGCUACAGGUUUUUUGUACUUAUUUUAUGUAGAACUUUAAAAAAUAGCUGAGGAAGUUAAACUGCAACAAAGCAUCCGCUUUGUCUUUUUAACAGUGAGGCUUUUUCCUGCGCAUUUUUCCAUUUGGUUUUUCUUCAUUGUCCUGUUCUUUAGGAAUUUCUUAGUGACAAGGGUGAGCCUGUCACUAAGCAUGAGCCUGCCGCCUGUUAGGUUUUGUACUCAGAGGUUUCCUCUUUCUGGCUAAUACACAGAGGUUUUCGAUUUCGGCAGGGUCGGAUAUUGAUUGUUGGAGGAAAAUUUCCUACUUAGGAAAAACAUGUGCUGUGUUCCCCAAGAUCAUUGUUUUGUCCUUCACCCGCAGGUCUGUCGUGCACGUGAGCUGGCUUUGGUGUGCAGCUGGGGGGCGGUCUGCAAUGCUCUCAGGGAAGUCGGUGCUCCCUGGGGUGGCUUUGCAAGUCCCUGUGGAUUUGUCCCCAGGUCGGAGCCAGUUUGGGUUCUGUUGAAAAAUGGCAUUUUAACGUUUGCUUUUUAUCUGAGUGAGAACGGUGACCUUGGCUCAUUCCAAACCUGAGAGACUCUGUGUAUGUUACGGCUUCGGCUACGGGGUGUUGGUUUCUCCCUUCAUCCUGGGACAUUCCCCUCUGUCUCCCAUGUGACUUGGGUUCAUCUGGGUUGACUUGGGAGCCUGCCGUCUGGCGACGACUUCCUCCCUUUCUCUUGUUGGCCUGGGGAUCCAUCAGUUCAGCAUCGCCCUCACGCCAUCCUCCUUACGUGUCGCUAGGUUCCCCAGGGCCCUGGAAAGCCAGGCACCAUCCGUAGGAGAAGGGCUCGUCCUCCCCACCGUGCAGCGGCCCGUGCAGCACGUGUCAGCGCUGGCAGGUGCUGUGAGGCUCCCCUGUGCUUCAGAGCCCGAAGGGGACUGGCCUAGGGUCAGUGUGUUGAGGCAGCUGCAGCACCGGGCACCCCUGCAUCUGACUGACCGCUUAGCCUGGGUUGGGUCCCCAGCCAAGAGAGAGGGACUCUGGGCCAGCUCGAUGCCCUUCUGACUUUGCGGCCCAGGCAGGGGCUGCUGAGUGGCUGUCAUCUGUUUUGGCAUUGGUGUCUUCAUAUCCUCCCAGCCAGCGGGGAGGCUGCAAGUUUAUGCCACCCCUGCUCACUGAUAUGCUCCUGCCUGCAGUCCGCACUCCUGAAGCCCUGGGGCUUGGCCCGGCCCGUGUCCUGCCAGCUGAGCACCGAGCUGCCCAUGGGGCCGCAGCCUGGAGCAGGGCGUCUCAGAGCCCUGUGGUCACAGCACCAUCCGUGGGUGUAGGGAGGGUGUGGCACGGCCGAGCCCAGGCACCAUUCUUUUCUGCUCUCUUCUUCGAGCUGUCCUGUUAAAGGUGGGGACAGCCCGUCAUCCCUGGUGAGGGGGGCUCUCCAGUCACUGAGUGUGGAGCUCCAGCAUGUGCCAGGUCUGUGGGGACCAGUCUGCAUGCUGCAGGGGCUGGUGGCGCAGCCCCCUCUCUGAGCUCCCACUUGGCCCUGCCCCGUCGGCCCAUCUCCCAGGCCUCACACGGACCGUGCCUCUGCCCACCCAUGCUUGUCUGCUAGUAAACAUGACCCUGAUGGCUGUCCCCCAACCUUGUGACAAUUUCACCGUCACACUCGGCAGCCCCACGUGUGGGCUUCGUGCUGCCGCUUCCUGGGACGGCCAGUUGUGCCCGUCGGGGUUACACCAAGUCCACUCUACUUGUUCCGAAGCAGAAUUGGGUGUUAUCCAUGGCAGCAGGCACCUCCUGUGGAAAGGUGGGGGAGUGACCCUCAUUGUCUCAGCCUUGACCCAGUGUGGGGGCUGCUGGCCCAGGUCAGCCAAGGAGAGGGCAGUCAGCUUUCCCAAGGGACUGGGCCCACAACAUGCCGAGAAUGUGUCUAUGGCGGGUCCCAAAGACACAAGGCCGCGAAUUCGAGAGAGCUGUGACCUGGUUGGAGACCACUGUAGCAGAAUGGGUCUGGGUGGAAGUUCUGUGGGCCUCCAGGGUGCAGAACUGUAUCCGCCUCGGUGCUGCGGGCUGCUCUCAGCCAGCCCUGCACACCUCCUGUGCGCUGGCUGUUCUUACUGCCGUCUGAGCACGGGGGCCCUCCGCCCUCUCGGCGCCCCGUCCUUGGUGGUAGCCACCUGCAGUCAGGUUCUUGUCAUUGGCAACUGUGGAGCUGGUCUUGGGCUCUGUGUGCCUGGUGCCCUGGGGUCUGGGCCUUGUCUCCCUUCGUCCUCACAGCAGCACGGUGGGCAGGGGCCACUGGGGACUCUGUCCUCAGCAGAGGAAGCUGGCGGCUCCCGAGGGUGCAUGGUCAUCCCUGGUCAUGUGGCAGCAGCCCCUCAGCUCCCCGGGGGUUUUGCAUGUGAAAUAAGUGCUUUGUCAUUUCCGUGUCCAAAAGAUGCAGCAUGUUUUACAUCACACUGAUUCUGUCUUUUCUUCUCCUUUUUCAAAGAUCGUAGACGGUGAGUAGUCUCCCUUUCCUGGGUUUGGAUGGCCAGCCGGCGUGCGAAAGGAGGCGGCCACGGAGGACCGCCAGGCGGCCGCGCCAGGACCACGCCGACAGCUGUGUGGUGAGCAGUGAUGACGAGGAGCCCUCCAG
Artibeus jamaicensis (Jamaican fruit-eating bat) is the source of this 4084-nucleotide RNA transcript. It is a transcript of the gene named ring finger protein 4, with no coding region annotated. The record is from RefSeq and is a predicted model, not a curated record. Lineage: Eukaryota; Metazoa; Chordata; Mammalia; Chiroptera; Phyllostomidae. The transcript has 2 exons.